RNAcentral lists this ribosomal RNA (574 nucleotides) under Gongronella butleri. RNAcentral's name for it is "eukaryotic LSU rRNA". It matches the Rfam family "Eukaryotic large subunit ribosomal RNA", at positions 165 to 652 of the family's 3401-position model. The record is from RNAcentral. Lineage: Eukaryota; Fungi; Mucoromycota; Mucoromycetes; Mucorales; Cunninghamellaceae.
UUGGGCGACCGGAUAAAUAAGUCCUUUGGAAAGGGGCAACAUAGAGGGUGACAUUCCCGUCUUUGGUCCGAGUCAGUGCAGUCGCUGCCCAGGAAACGACGAGUCAGGUUGUUUGGGAAUGCAGCCUAAAAUGGGAGGUAAAUCUCUCCUAAAGCUAAAUACUGGCGUAAGACCGAUAGCGAACAAGUACCGUGAGGGAAAGAUGAAAAGGACUUUGAAAAGAGGGUCAAAUAGUACGUGAAAUUGUUGAAAGGGAACCGUAUGAAAGUAGACUGGCUUGGUGAUGAUCAAUGUGUGUUUCGGCACGCAUGCACUCAUUGCCUUAGCCAGCCAGCGGCAGUUUUUGCUAAAGGAAGAAAAUCAGGGGAAUGUAGCUUCGAUUUCGGUUGAAGUGUUAUAGCUCCUGGUAAAAUACUUUGGCAGAGACUGAGGCUAGCAGCGGAUCUUUGGGAACUUUGCGCGCUUGUCGUCCAAUGGUUAAGUUUUCUUCGGAUGCUUGGUCAUUGGGUGGCAACUCGUGUGAUGCUUCACCCUUCCGCUUAGGUCGCUGGCGUAAUGCUUUUAUAUGACCCGU